This 500-nucleotide ribosomal RNA is filed under the name uncultured bacterium. RNAcentral's name for it is "partial 16S ribosomal RNA". It matches the Rfam family "Bacterial small subunit ribosomal RNA", at positions 30 to 523 of the family's 1533-position model. The record is from RNAcentral.
AUUGAACGCUGGCGGCAUGCCUUACACAUGCAAGUCGAACGGCAGCACGGGUGCUUGCACCUGGUGGCGAGUGGCGAACGGGUGAGUAAUACAUCGGAACGUACCUUAUCGUGGGGAUAACGCAGCGAAAGUUGCGCUAAUACCGCAUACGCCCUGAGGGGGAAAGCGGGGGACCGUAAGGCCUCGCGCGAUUAGAGCGGCCGAUGUCUGAUUAGCUUGUUGGUGAGGUAAAAGCUCACCAAGGCGAUGAUCAGUAGCUGGUCUGAGAGGACGAUCGGCCACACUGGGACUGAGACACGGCCCAGACUCCUACGAGAGGCAGCAGUGGGGAAUUUUGGACAAUGGGGGCAACCCUGAUCCAGCAAUGCCGCGUGAGUGAAGAAGGCCUUCGGGUUGUAAAGCUCUUUUGUCAGGGAAGAAACAGCAGCUCUAACACAGUCUGCGAAUGACGGUACCUGAAGAAUAAGCACCGGCUAACUACGUGCCAGCCGCCGCCGUAA